UUUCCAGAAGUUAUAUAGGAGCCGCCGGCGAAACCCGCGCGGUCCGGUUUACGUCACGCACCGAAGAGAGAGAGAGAGGGGAAAGAGUACAACGCGGCGGCGACACCACCGCCCGCCCGCCGCGAUGGCGAUGCGCCAGCUCGCCAGGCUCCACCAGCGCCUCCCCCCUUCUCUCCCCCGCCGGCACGCCACGCGCCACGCGUGGCCGCCCGCCGCCGACGCGGCGUUCCUCUGCCGCGGGCUCGCCUCCUCGUCGUCGUCCUCCGCGGCCGCCGCCUCGGCGGCGGGUCGGGAGAAGAGCUCGAGGCGGACGCUGGGGUACCUGCUCGGCGUGGCGGUCGCUAUGGUCGGCGCUUCCUACGCGGCUGUCCCGCUAUACCGUCGCUUCUGCCAGGCUACCGGCUACGGCGGCACCGUCCAACGACGCGAGAGUGUGGAGGAGAAAAUCUCACGACAUGCUCGAGAUGGAACUACAACGUCACGUGUUCUAAAGGUGUCGCCUAGGCGUCCAGGCGGACCCAGCUUACCUUGGGCAACAACCACGCCUUGUCGCCUAGGCAUCCAGGCGUACCCAGCUCGCCUUGGCGCCUUUAAAACACUCGCGCUGAGGAGAUCAUUGUCCAAUUUAACGCUGAUGUUGCUGAUGGAAUGCCAUGGAAGUUCAUUCCUACACAGAGAGAGGUUAGGGUUAAACCUGGUGAAAGUGCUCUGGCGUUUUAUACUGCUGAAAAUCGCAGUUCAGCUCCAAUUACUGGUGUGUCCACAUACAAUGUUGCUCCAAUGAAGGCUGCCAUUUACUUUAAUAAGAUACAAUGCUUUUGCUUUGAGGAGCAAACACUUCUUCCUGGGGAGCAGAUAGACAUGCCAGUAUUCUUCUACAUCGAUCCUGAGUUUGAGACAGACCCCAAAAUGGAGGGGGUGAACAAUAUAGUUCUUUCCUACACGUUCUUUAAGGUGAACGAUAGGUAGAAAAAAAACAGAGCAACAGUAGUUGCUCUAUUAGAGAAACACUUCAUCGAAUCUGUAUGCUUCGAAAUAGCGCAUCUCAUGUAACAUCACGAGAAGAGCUUGUUUGCUUGUGUAGUUAGCUCGCAUUUGUCCGGAAAAUUUUGCAAAUAAUCUGUACCAGUGAUAGUGUACCCGACGCAACCAAAAUGAGGUCCCUUAUAUGUAUCAAGGAUCCUGCAGCAUUGAUGUGAUGGCAUUUCUUUUUUUAAUA
Panicum virgatum (switchgrass) is the source of this 1219-nucleotide RNA transcript. It is a transcript of the gene named cytochrome c oxidase assembly protein COX11, mitochondrial-like, with no coding region annotated. NCBI's taxonomy places the organism in Eukaryota, Viridiplantae, Streptophyta, Magnoliopsida, Poales, Poaceae. The record is from RefSeq and is a predicted model, not a curated record. The transcript has 7 exons.